AGCUCUGUAAGCGUAUACCAAAGUUGUUGCACUUAAAACGCUCGAAGUCGGAACUUCGCCGUUCCGGAUGUGGGCACGUCGUGUGCUUACUUUGCAGGGACGGCUUUUCGGUUCGGCUUAGGAUGAGGCGCUUUUAUUAGUGAACGUCCUCGCGCCACCACUCUUUACUAUGAGAAAAUCAGAGUGCUCAAAGUAGGCAUUUGCCGUGAAUGUAUUAGUAUGGAAUAGUAGAAUAGGACCCGGUUCCAUUUUGUUGGUUUGUUGGGACUGAGUAAUGAUUAAGAAAGACAGUUGGGGGCAUUUUUAUUUCGGCGCUAGAGGUGAAAUUCUUAGAUUGCCGAAAGACGAACUGCUGCGAAAGCAUCUGCCAAGGAUGUUUUCAUUGAUCAAGAACGAAAGU
This 400-nucleotide ribosomal RNA is filed under the name phytoplankton environmental sample. RNAcentral's name for it is "partial small subunit ribosomal RNA". It matches the Rfam family "Eukaryotic small subunit ribosomal RNA", at positions 587 to 990 of the family's 1831-position model. The record is from RNAcentral.